This 579-nucleotide ribosomal RNA is filed under the name uncultured Methanomicrobiales archaeon. Its description in RNAcentral is "bacterial SSU rRNA". It matches the Rfam family "Archaeal small subunit ribosomal RNA", at positions 339 to 917 of the family's 1478-position model. The record is from RNAcentral. Lineage: Archaea; Methanobacteriati; Methanobacteriota; Methanomicrobia; Methanomicrobiales.
GCGCGAAAACUUUGCAAUGCGGGAAACCGUGACAAGGGAACUCUGAGUGCCCGUAAAAUCGGGCUGUCCAUCGGUUUAAAUAACCGGUGAAGAAAGGGCCGGGCAAGACCGGUGCCAGCCGCCGCGGUAAUACCGGCGGCUCGAGUGGUGGCCACUAUUACUGGGCUUAAAGCGUUCGUAGCUGGUUUGUUAAGUCUCUGGGGAAAUCUUCCGGCUUAACCGGAAGGCGUCUCAGGGAUACUGGCAGACUAGGGACCGGGAGAGGUGAGAGGUACUCCAGGGGUAGGAGUGAAAUCCUGUAAUCCUUGGGGGACCACCUGUGGCGAAGGCGUCUCACCAGAACGGCUCCGACAGUGAGGGACGAAAGCUGGGGGAGCAAACCGGAUUAGAUACCCGGGUAGUCCCAGCCGUAAACGAUGUGCGUUAGGUGUAUCGGUGACCACGAGUCACCGAGGUGCCGAAGAGAAAUCGUAGAAACGUACCGCCUGGGAAGUACGGUCGCGAAGGCUAGAAACUUAAAGGAAUUGGGCGGGGGAGCACCAACAACGAGGUGGACGCCUGCGUUAAGUCGGACUACCG